GGAUUUCCUGGUCUGGCCUCUGAGAACCUCCUAGCACCCCAGAACUCCCAGACAGAAUGUUAGGUAAUGCCAAUGAGCACAGAUCAAUCAUCUGCACAAUCUGAAGACGGAGCACUUUCCAUGGAGUGCUGAUGAAGUGCCAGGGUCCUAGGCUCCUUCUGGUGUGCCACCCCUCGGACAAGUCUCUCAGCCUCAAGGUCCAGGAUGGCAACAUCUGUCCAAACAGCAAGAUGGAGAACAGGACAGGAUAGGAACGAAGUAGGAGAGGGGCCAAGGACUCAUGCUGGCAUCCCGCCAGCCUUUUGACACGAGUCACCCUUCCGCCACUUUAUAAAAAAAGAAAUGAAAGCUGAAAACUCGUUAUUCAGUGGGCCCCCGACACCCGCAGACUCAGCUCCAUGUGUUUCUUACUUCUGGCUGGUCAGUGCCUCCGUUCGUGUGGAGCUGCUAUGGAAGCAGGAGCUUGGGAGAGCCAGAGUGACACCAUUUUACACUCAACUCCAUCUUUUUGUUUUGUUUUGUUUUUUAAUUUAGAGAUAGGGUCUCCCCGUGUUGCCCGGCUGGUCUCAAC
This 571-nucleotide long non-coding RNA is filed under the name Homo sapiens (human). RNAcentral describes it as "HSALNT0366392". The record is from RNAcentral. Lineage: Eukaryota; Metazoa; Chordata; Mammalia; Primates; Hominidae.